Molecule: non-coding RNA, 139 nt
Filed under: Paraburkholderia silvatlantica
Lineage: Bacteria; Pseudomonadati; Pseudomonadota; Betaproteobacteria; Burkholderiales; Burkholderiaceae
Source: RNAcentral
CAGUCGGUGAAAGUCCGACCGGGGCAAAAGACUCAAGCCUCGUAGCUUGGGAGGCGUCGUGGCGCGAAAGCAAGACGAUGGAGCCCUCCGACAGUAUGCUCAGAAAGGAGUAUAUGCAACGCACCAGGUUGCAACGUGC